RNAcentral lists this ribosomal RNA (215 nucleotides) under uncultured Pseudomonas sp. RNAcentral's name for it is "partial 16S ribosomal RNA". It matches the Rfam family "Bacterial small subunit ribosomal RNA", at positions 1172 to 1382 of the family's 1533-position model. The record is from RNAcentral. Lineage: Bacteria; Pseudomonadati; Pseudomonadota; Gammaproteobacteria; Pseudomonadales; Pseudomonadaceae.
GGUGGGGAUGACGUCAAGUCCAUCAUGGCCCUUACGGCCAGGGCUACACACGUGCUACAAUGGUCGGUACAAAGGGUUGCCAAGCCGCGAGGUGGAGACUAAUCCCAUAAAACCGAUCGUAGUCCGGAUCGCAGUCUGCAACUCGACUGCGUGAAGUCGGAAUCGCUAGUAAUCGUGAAUCAGAAUGUCACGGUGAAUACCGGUUCCCGGGCCUU